RNAcentral lists this ribosomal RNA (396 nucleotides) under Salmonella enterica. Its description in RNAcentral is "partial 23S ribosomal RNA". It matches the Rfam family "Bacterial large subunit ribosomal RNA", at positions 123 to 559 of the family's 2925-position model. Lineage: Bacteria; Pseudomonadati; Pseudomonadota; Gammaproteobacteria; Enterobacterales; Enterobacteriaceae. The record is from RNAcentral. RNAcentral also lists the same sequence under 6 other names.
GAAACCCAGUGUGAUUCGUCACACUAUCAUUAACUGAAUCCAUAGGUUAAUGAGGCGAACCGGGGGAACUGAAACAUCUAAGUACCCCGAGGAAAAGAAAUCAACCGAGAUUCCCCCAGUAGCGGCGAGCGAACGGGGAGGAGCCCAGAGCCUGAAUCAGCAUGUGUGUUAGUGGAAGCGUCUGGAAAGGCGCGCGAUACAGGGUGACAGCCCCGUACACAAAAGCGCAUGUGCUGUGAGCUCGAUGAGUAGGGCGGGACACGUGGUAUCCUGUCUGAAUAUGGGGGGACCAUCCUCCAAGGCUAAAUACUCCUGACUGACCGAUAGUGAACCAGUACCGUGAGGGAAAGGCGAAAAGAACCCCGGCGAGGGGAGUGAAAAAGAACCUGAAACCGU